GAUGAACGCUAGCGGCAGGCCUAACACAUGCAAGUCGAGGGGUAGAACACUUCGGUGUUUGAGACCCGGCGCACGGGUGCGUAACGCGUAUGCAAUCUACCUUAUACAGGGGAAUAGCCCAGAGAAAUUUGGAUUAAUGCCCCAUUAGUGUUAUAGAAUCGCAUGGGUUUUAUAACUAAAGUUCCAACGGUAUAAGAUGAGCAUGCGUCCCAUUAGUUAGUUGGUAAGGUAACGGCUUACCAAGACAAUGAUGGGUAGGGGUCCUGAGAGGGAGAUCCCCCACACUGGUACUGAGACACGGACCAGACUCCUACGGGAGGCAGCAGUGAGGAAUAUUGGUCAAUGGGCGCAAGCCUGAACCAGCCAUGCCGCGUGCAGGAAGACGGUCCUAUGGAUUGUAAACUGCUUUUAUACAGGAAGAAACCUCCCUACGUGUAGGGACUUGACGGUACUGUAGGAAUAAGGAUCGGCUAACUCCGUG
This 481-nucleotide ribosomal RNA is filed under the name uncultured bacterium. Its description in RNAcentral is "bacterial SSU rRNA". It matches the Rfam family "Bacterial small subunit ribosomal RNA", at positions 28 to 507 of the family's 1533-position model. The record is from RNAcentral.